UGGGGAAUCUUGCACAAUGGGCGGAAGCCUGAUGCAGCGACGCCGCGUGGGGGAUGACGGCCUUCGGGUUGUAAACUCCUUUCGCCAGGGACGAAGCCGUGAGGUGACGGUACCUGGAUAAGAAGCACCGGCUAACUACGUGCCAGCAGCCGCGGUAAUACGUAGGGUGCGAGCGUUGUCCGGAAUUACUGGGCGUAAAGAGCUCGUAGGUGGUUUGUCGCGUCGUCUGUGAAAUUCCGGGGCUUAACUCCGGGCGUGCAGGCGAUACGGGCAUAACUUGAGUGCUGUAAGGGAGACUGGAAUUCCUUGUGUAGCGGUGAAAUUCGCAGAUGUCAGGAGGAACACCGGUGGCGAAGGCAGGUCUCUGGGCAGUAACUGACGCUGAGGAGCGAAAGCAUGGGUAGCGAACAGG
Molecule: ribosomal RNA, 412 nt
Filed under: Bacillota bacterium
Lineage: Bacteria; Bacillati; Bacillota
Description: Firmicutes bacterium partial 16S ribosomal RNA
Rfam family: Bacterial small subunit ribosomal RNA
Source: RNAcentral